Molecule: ribosomal RNA, 897 nt
Filed under: Triticum aestivum (bread wheat)
Lineage: Eukaryota; Viridiplantae; Streptophyta; Magnoliopsida; Poales; Poaceae
Description: partial small subunit ribosomal RNA
Source: RNAcentral
AUGAAAUCUAACCGUGCCCCUGGACCGGAUAAUAUCCCUGUUGAAUUCUAUCAACAUUGUUGGGAAGUUGUAGCCCCGGAAUUAUUGGCCUUAUUUGAAUGGUUUUAUGAGGAGAGAUUGGAUGUACAAAGGCUGAAUUAUGGCGUUAUUACGCUGUUGCCUAAGUCUGAUGAUGCUAGUAAGAUUCAGCAAUAUAGGCCAAUCGGCUUGCUACGUUGUCCAUACAAGCUUAUUACCAAGGUUAUGGACAUUAGGGUCAGUAAAUAUGCUCAUAAGUUUUUUAGCAUUCAACAAAACGCGUUCAUCAAAGGGAGGCAUAUUGUGGAUGGCAUAUUAUCCUUGCAUGAAGUUUUGCAUUAUACUCAUGUUAAAAAACAGGUCGGGGUUAUCCUUAAGUUUGACUUCGAGAAAGCGUAUGACAAAGUCAAUUGGGAGUUUUUGCUUGAAUGUCAUAAAAAAUGUGGGUUUAACCAAAAAUGGUGUGGAUGGGUAUCUCAAAUUCUUAAGAAUGAGACGGUUAGUGUUAAAAUCAAUGAUGAGCUGGGACCAUAUAUACAAAGCGUGAAAGGGGUCAGGCAGGGAGACCCGCGCUCCCCUUUCCUCUUUAAUCUUGCGGCAGAAUGCUUAACUAAGAUGAUGACUUCUGCCCAAAAAAAUGGCCUCAUCAAGGGAUUGGCCUCUGAUCUUAUUGAGGAUGGUGUGGGUAUUUUACAAUAUGCGGACGAUACAGUUAUAAGCUUCGAGCAUGACAUAGACAAGGCAGUCAAUGUCAAACUCUUACUAUAUCUGUUUGAGCUCAUGUCAGGGUUGAAAAUUAACUUUGAUAAGUGUGAGGUUAUUGUUAUAGGUGGGGAUAAUAAGACUGAUGCAAUCUAUGCUGAGAUGUUUGGGUGUUAG